AAGACUAUAGACCUGCGGAGUACCUGCGGAGGGAUCAUCAACGUAUCUAUGAUGGGGUGCGGAGCGCCCUGCUCCGGUCGAACGGCCGUGCAGCGGGUGCGCCGCCCCCGUCCCACCUCACAAACCCACUGUGAACAUUCACCGGUGGAGGGGGCUCGGUCUGCGCCGUGUCCCCGAUGCCGAAUACCCAAACUCCAGUUGCAAAGAACGUCGUGCGGACUCGGUGCCGCCUAAAACAUG
Molecule: unclassified non-coding RNA, 240 nt
Filed under: soil metagenome
Description: partial contains 5.8S ribosomal RNA, internal transcribed spacer 2, and large subunit ribosomal RNA
Source: RNAcentral